CAGCAGCCGCGGGAAUACAGAGGGUGCGAGCGUUAAUCGGAUUUACUGGGCGUAAAGCGUGCGUAGGCGGCUUUUUAAGUCGGAUGUGAAAUCCCUGAGCUUAACUUAGGAAUUGCAUUCGAUACUGGGAAGCUAGAGUAUGGGAGAGGAUGGUAGAAUUCCAGGUGUAGCGGUGAAAUGCGUAGAGAUCUGGAGGAAUACCGAUGGCGAAGGCAGCCAUCUGGCCUAAUACUGACGCUGAGGUACGAAAGCAUGGGGAGCAAACGGGAUUAGAGACCCCAGUAGUCCCUGUCUCUUAUAC
Molecule: ribosomal RNA, 301 nt
Filed under: uncultured bacterium
Lineage: Bacteria
Description: partial 16S ribosomal RNA
Rfam family: Bacterial small subunit ribosomal RNA
Source: RNAcentral